Molecule: ribosomal RNA, 414 nt
Filed under: Triticum aestivum (bread wheat)
Lineage: Eukaryota; Viridiplantae; Streptophyta; Magnoliopsida; Poales; Poaceae
Description: partial small subunit ribosomal RNA
Source: RNAcentral
ACCUUUUGUAAUCAAUUUCACAGGUGGCUGCAAUAUUCAAAAUUGCAAACAGCAAAGACAUACCUGGUAUCCCAGAUCAUCUUUCUUCUGAAGCAAAAAGCUUUCUGAAACUCUGUUUGCAGCGUGAUCCUGCUGCGCGUCCGACUGCUGAUCAAUUAAUCGUACAUCCGUGGGUGAAAGACCAAGCAUCAGUUACCAAGGCUCCUGUCAAAUAGUGGUUUAUAUUAGGAAUCUGCUUGUACUCUGUAUGAUAGCCAUCUAUGGGUAGAUGACAUUAUCUCUCAUAUUGGUUACCCUCGAGAUUGAGUUUGGUGUCCUAUAAUUUCUUACCGCUGUGAUUAAAUGUCAGGUAAAGAGAAGCGUGGAGUUGUUGAUAAUAAUCUCAGGAUGAGAAACGUAGCAGUGCCAGUGAGA